Molecule: long non-coding RNA, 1013 nt
Organism: Suricata suricatta (meerkat)
Lineage: Eukaryota; Metazoa; Chordata; Mammalia; Carnivora; Herpestidae
Exons: 3
Source: RefSeq, a predicted model, not a curated record
UGGAUAAGGCUGUAUUUGGGACCCCAUCGUAUCUGUCCCCCCCACAUGCCUGAUAAGCCUCUUACCAGGGCAGGCCCAGGGAACAGGCAGGAAGCAGGCUGGAAGAGGGGAAAGGGUCAGCUGGGUCUGGCUGAGCUCCAGAGCAGAUGGCAGGGGCCAGGGAGUCCUGACAGAGCCCCGGGAGGUGUUGGGGGGGGGCUCCCUGGGAGAGCAGUGCAGAGUGGUGGUUAGACUGGGGAUUCCGAAGCCAGGAUGCCUGCACUUAUACCCGGCUCUUCCACUUCAUACCCGGGUGAGAUCCGGAUCCUCUCCAGGAGGUGCCCAUCUUACCUGGCAGCACACUCUGGUGGCCUGGGCCUCGCUGGCAUCUGGAGUUUCAGAGGCUGCACCUCCCCAUAGGCGUCCCCACACCUUCCCAAUCUGCGUGUGCCUCAGGACUCCUUCCCAGGAAUCCUGGCCUUUUGGGCCUGGUUUUUCCCUGCACCCACAACAGAUACCUUGGAGCCCUGGUGCCCUCUGGUGACAAAAGCCAUACAUAGCAGUUACAGGGGCUGCCUGGGCACAUCUGCUGGCACUUGUCCCAUUAGUUUAUGUCGUCCUCACAUCAAGAACCUUUAUGCUGAGCCUCCACACCCAAUCCUUUCCACUGGAACCUCGCUGAACCCUUACCCUGGGGAACAUGCUGGAGUGAUCAGCCCUCACAACAGAACCCUUCACCCUGAGUUGCCCAUUUCAGGGAGCAGCGGAGGAAGCAGUGGCUGGAAGGUGGAGGUGGGGCCUGAGCUGGGAGAGCAGGAAUGGAGACAGACCUGGGCGCUCAGGCCCCAGCCAUGGUCAGAAGUGCUCCCAAGGGAGCGUUGACCUCUCACCCCAGCCCGCUGCAGUUGGAGGAUCUGCUGCCCCCACAGCCCCUGCUUCAAGGACCAGCAGCUGCCCAUGGAGCAGCUAGGUAUCACCAUGGCAACCGGGCCAGGCCAGCCUGCAGGUGGGGCUGCUUUAAAGACUUUUAUUGC